AAACCAUGCAUUGAGAAUUUUCUAAUUAACUCAUUGAAUCGCUCUCAUGCUUCAUAUAAUGUUUCACCCUCAGAUUGCUAAAAGGACGUAAUAUCAUUCCUCAAUUU
Gossypium raimondii (Peruvian cotton) is the source of this 107-nucleotide small nucleolar RNA. It matches the Rfam family "Plant small nucleolar RNA R71". From Rfam's summary of the family: R71 is a member of the C/D box family of snoRNAs containing the C (UGAUGA) and D (CUGA) box motifs. Multiple nearly identical copies of this snoRNA have been identified in Arabidopsis, and it is thought to function as a 2'-O-ribose methylation guide for 18S ribosomal RNA. NCBI's taxonomy places the organism in Eukaryota, Viridiplantae, Streptophyta, Magnoliopsida, Malvales, Malvaceae. The record is from Rfam.